UAGGGAAUCUUGGACAAUGGGCGAAAGCCUGAUCCAGCCAUGCCGCGUGUGUGAUGAAGGCCUUAGGGUUGUAAAGCACUUUCGGACGGAACGAAAUCGCGCGAGUUAAUAGCCCGCGUGGAUGACGGUACCGUAAGAAGAAGCACCGGCUAACUACGUGCCAGCAGCCGCGGUAAUACGUAGGGUGCGAGCGUUAAUCGGAAUUACUGGGCGUAAAGGGUGCGCAGGCGGCCCCGCAAGUCAGGCGUGAAAUCCCCGAGCUCAACUUGGGAAUGGCGCUUGAAACUACGGGGCUGGAGUGUGGCAGAGGGAGGUGGAAUUCCACGUGUAGCGGUGAAAUGCGUAGAUAUGUGGAGGAACACCAGUGGCGUAAGCGGCUGUCUGGCUCGAUAUUGACGCUGAGGUACGAAAGCGUGGGGAUCAAACAGGAUUAGAUACCCUGGUAGUCCACGCCGUAAACGAUGUGUGCUUGUCGCUGGGAGGUUUACCUUUCGGUGACGGAGCUAACGCGUUAAGCACACCGCCUGGGAAAGUACGGUCGCAAGAUUA
Molecule: ribosomal RNA, 549 nt
Filed under: uncultured bacterium
Lineage: Bacteria
Description: bacterial SSU rRNA
Rfam family: Bacterial small subunit ribosomal RNA
Source: RNAcentral